AGGGGGAAAGNGNNGGGUUCGCNANAACCUCACGUUAUUCGAGCGGCCGACGUCUGAUUAGCUAGUUGGUGGGGUAAAGGCCUACCAAGGCGACGAUCAGUANCGGGUCUGAGAGGAUGAUCCGCCACACUGGAACUGAGACACGGUCCAGACUCCUACGGGAGGCAGCAGUGGGGAAUUUUNGNCAAUGGGGGCAACCCUGAUCCAGCCAUUCCGCGUGAGUGAAGAAGGCCUUCGGGUUGUAAAGCUCUUUCAGCUGGAAAGAANCGGUGCGCUCUAACAUAGCGUGCUAAUGA
This 296-nucleotide ribosomal RNA is filed under the name uncultured Thiobacillus sp. RNAcentral describes it as "partial 16S ribosomal RNA". It matches the Rfam family "Bacterial small subunit ribosomal RNA", at positions 197 to 488 of the family's 1533-position model. Lineage: Bacteria; Pseudomonadati; Pseudomonadota; Betaproteobacteria; Nitrosomonadales; Thiobacillaceae. The record is from RNAcentral.